GAAUUAUUGGGCGUAAAGAGCUUGUAGGCGGCUUGUCGCGUCUGCUGUGAAAACCCGGGGCUUAACCCCGGGCUUGCAGUGGGUACGGGCAGGCUAGAGUGUGGUAGGGGAGACUGGAAUUCCUGGUGUAGCGGUGGAAUGCGCAGAUAUCAGGAGGAACACCGAUGGCGAAGGCAGGUCUCUGGGCCAUUACUGACGCUGAGAAGCGAAAGCGUGGGGAGCGAACAGGAUUAGAUACCCUGGUAGUCCACGCCGUAAACGUUGGGCGCUAGGUGUGGGUCCCAUUCCACGGGGUCCGUGCCGCAGCUAACGCAUUAAGCGCCCCGCCUGGGGAGUACGGCCGCAAGGCUAAAACUCAAAGGAAUUGACGGGGGCCCGCACAAGCGGCGGAGCAUGCGGAUUAAUUCGAUGCAACGCGAAGAACCUUACCAAGGCUUGACAUAUACCGGAAACUCUCAGAGAUGGGGGCCCCGCAAGGUCGGUAUACAGGUGGUGCAUGGUUGCCGUCAGCUCGUGUCGUGAGAUGUUGGGUUAAGUCCCGCAACGAGCGCAACCCUCGUUCUAUGUUGCCAGCACGUGAUGGUGGGGACUCAUAGGAGACUGCCGGGGUCAACUCGGAGGAAGGUGGGGAUGACGUCAAAUCAUCAUGCCCCUUACGUCUUGGGCUUCACGCAUGCUACAAUGGCCGGUACAGAGGGCUGCGAAACCGUGAGGUGGAGCGAAUCCCUUAAAGCUGGUCUCAGUUCGGAUUGGGGUCUGCAACUCGACCCCAUGAAGUCGGAGUCGCUAGUAAUCGCAGAUCAGCAACGC
This 810-nucleotide ribosomal RNA is filed under the name uncultured bacterium. RNAcentral's name for it is "bacterial SSU rRNA". It matches the Rfam family "Bacterial small subunit ribosomal RNA", at positions 548 to 1357 of the family's 1533-position model. The record is from RNAcentral.